UCGACCCNUUCUGUGCCGGAGUUAACGCAAUAAGUACCCCGCCUGGGGAGUACGACCGCAAGGUUGAAACUCAAAGGAAUUGACGGGGGCCCGCACAAGCGGUGGAGUAUGUGGUUUAAUUCGACGCAACGCGAAGAACCUUACCAGGUCUUGACAUUGAUGGACAGAACCAGAGAUGGUUCNUCUUNUUCGGAAGCCAGAAAACAGGUGGUGCUCGGUUGUCGUCAGCUCGUGUCGUGAGAUGUUGGGUUAAGUCCCGCAACGAGCGCAACCCCUAUCUUAUGUUGCCAGCACUUUGGGUGGGGACUCAUGAGAGACUGCCGCAGACAAUGCGGAGGAAGGCGGGGAUGACGUCAAAUCAUCAUGCCCCUUAUGACCUGGGCUACACACGUACUACAAUGGGAGUUAAUAGACGGAAGCGAGAUCGCGAGAUGGAGCAAACCCGAGAAACACUCUCUCAGUUCGGAUCGUAGGCUGCAACUCGCCUACGUGAAGUCGGAAUCGCUAGUAAUCGCAGGUCAGCAUACUGCGGNGAAUACGUUCCCGGGCCU
RNAcentral lists this ribosomal RNA (551 nucleotides) under uncultured bacterium. RNAcentral's name for it is "bacterial SSU rRNA". It matches the Rfam family "Bacterial small subunit ribosomal RNA", at positions 832 to 1381 of the family's 1533-position model. The record is from RNAcentral.